CACUGGAGCCUUAAGAGACAAGAGUUAUUUAUGGACAUUUAAUGAAGCAGAUUCAGAGAACUUAGCUGGUGGUUCAGGAUGAUAGGUUUGAAUACAGACCCCAGUGUCCCAUCUGAUGAACCAUGCUGCCUUGUGACUCACUGAUCUCCAGAUUAUAAGACAGGUUAUAGUUAUAUUGGAGUUGAAGCAUCAAGGCAUUGUGGAAUGAAGAAGCUUAGAGAGAGGAGGUGGGACAGUCUAGGGACAAGGAAUAAAGGGGAUAAGACUCAAGUCUUAUCCAAUGUGAUAAACAUGUGCUGAAUAUGUACCACUUUCUGUAUCAACCUCCCAAGGCCAAACUCCCUCGUCCUCACAGGUGCCCUGGGUUUGGCUCCCCACCACCCAGUGAAGUAUGUGUGGGACACAACCCAAAUCAAAGCCAACAAGUCACUGCCCAAACAUCCAGGGCCGAGGGAAAAAGAGCAACAUGUUCUCACCACACGCCACUUCAGAACCAGAGUGACAGAGCAUGAACGGGGGAGGGGAAGAGAGAGAGGGAGACACAGAAUCGGAAGCAGGCUCCAGGCUCUGAGCCGUCAGCCCAGAGCCCGACGCGGGGCUCGAACCCACGAACCGCGAGAUCGUGACCCGAGCCAAAGUUGGACGCCUAACCGACUGAGCCACCCAGGCGCCCCUAUACUCUUUAAUGUGUAUGGAAGGAAAACUGUUGGCCAUUUCCAGAAAAUGGGGCUUCACAAUAUUUCUGGAAUUUCUGCCUGUCUUCCUGGGCCUUUCUCUGGAGUUCUCUUUCACUUCAUUGCACAAAGACUCAGUUUGGCCUUCAGGGAACGAAAUGGCUCCCUUAGGUUGUUUGUAAUCAGGAUUCAUGGAAUCCAAGUUUCAGAAGCCUUGUGAGUUUGAAUUUACCUAACUGUAGUCGUUGUGGAGGCACCCCUUGGGGCACUGAGCUCUUUUUAAUGUGGUGCACCGAAUCUCUUACUUACUAGGCCUCUGUUGUGCCCCUACUGUGCGCCGGGCGUCACUCAACACCCCAAAAUCCAGAGGUAAGAAGGUGCCCUGUUCCGUGAGGAGCGUCAGGCAGGCAGAGAACUGACCUCAAGACAAUUCGGUCCUCAAAAAGGGAUGUUCAGGUUGCUCUGUGGCCCAGGGCAGGGGUGUGGCAGGAUUGACUGAUUAAUGUUGUGUUGAAGAGGGGAAAGAAAAACAGAAGGUUAGGAUUUCUAUUCACAGUGGACUGUGACAUUUUGAUCCAGAAGACGGAAUCGGUCAUUGCCCUUGCCUCCUCUGUCCGGAUCAGUAAUUUGAAGGGUGUGGUCUGAGUGCCCAAGAAGACCGUUCGUUUUAAAAUACCAUUCUUUCCCACCUUUACAAUUUAUUGGUUCGAAUUAAGUUUUAAUGCUCCACUAACCUGGGAAGGUCCCUGGGGACUGUAUCUGCUCUCACUCAUCACUGCCUUAGGGUUAUCUCAUCCCCUCUGAGAGACAGUGAGAGAGCAAUCCCACACCUCAACACAGAAAAAGACCGAGUCCAGCAGGAGGAUGAUAGCCUCUCUCUGCAAGGCUUAUGAGGAGAAGCAUCCAGAAGCCUGGACGGGUCAGGUCAGGGCUUCAGGAAAAGGGCAUGACCUUCACUGAAUAUGCUUGCCUCUGUGAGCACGGAAUGGCGUUCUAGGCCAGGAGUUCUUAGAAUCUGAAAUGGCAUAACAUCUGUAAAAUCCCAGGGACCGAUGCAGUUGGCUACCUAUCCACUUGCCAAUAAAAGUAUUUAAAACAAACAAAAACCCCAAUAUACUAUUUUUAUCAACAUUAUUUCAUCCAAAAGACGGUAUUUUUACCAUCAAAAAAUUAGGAAGGAUCCAAUAUCACAAUAAAAGACAGCUCUUUAAACGGAAUAUAAUUUGUGAAAAAUUCCAGACUUGUCAUCGCCUUAUUUUUUGCUACCUUCAGGCUGUCACAGUCCACACAUGGGCACUUGGAAACCACAUUUCUAGGUACUGAGGAUGUCUUGGGAUCUGUCUUGAGGUGUGUCCCUGCAAAGACACCUGAUCUCUGAGUUAUAAGAGGGGGCAGGGAGGGCACUGCAGAGCAGUGAGGAAAGCGCCCUCCUACAUAAACCUUUGGGCCCAGGCAAAUGCCACCAGCUCUAGAGAGACAUCCCUUGUGAUCUCAGGUCAAAAAUCAACUGGUAGUUUCUCUCUGUCCCCAGCGAGCAUUGCUUGUAAGCCCGUGUGGCAACUGGCUAAUCCUGCUUCGUAUUCUGGUCGGUCUGUACACCUGUUCUCCUCAGCUCUGGGCAUUGUCCCCUGGCCUUAUACGUAGAAGCUUCUUAGGCAUAGUCACUCAAUCAGAUUGACUUCAUCAUCUUCUUUUUCAUUUUUUUCUUUCUAUCUGUCCUUUCCUUCUUGCCCCCUUUUUACCUUCCUGCCUUCUUUUCCUUUUAUAUCCAUUGUUAUCUCCUCCAGCUCCUUCCUGUUAGUACACAAUUUUCCCCGUGGGCAGGGUCCUCUGGAAUUCUGUACCCUGCCACUUCCCAUCCAUUCUGCAACUUCAGAUAUGCGGAAUAAAGAUAAAUGAACUGUGACAUUUGCCUUUUACAUCAAAAUACAAGAGAAGAAAACAAAAAUGGAAGAGAAGAUUGCUGUCAGACCACACAUUUCCCAUCCCCAUCGGAAAACCAUGGUCUUUUUUCCUGCCAACAAUGACCUUGGGGAUCCAGUCAAAUCCUGCCUGACGUUUUUAACAUUCAGUACUUGCGUUUUUCUCACGGGGAGUGGGUGGGGGGGAAUGAGAAAGCCUAGGCUUUACCUUCCCUAAAUCUGUUCCUGUCUCUGUUCUUCCUUUUUUGAAUCCUCCGUAUGUACCAAUUAUUUCCUGUUUCUUCCUCUCUUAGAACAUUCCACCAGGUACCAUUCUUAUCCCCGGGUCCCCAGACCCCAUCUUUUGAGCCUCAAGUCUCUCUGACUGCAGACUCCUUUUCCCUGGGCCACAGGGUCCUCGCUUUGAGAAGUUGCGUGAAGAGAGGAUGGAAGCCUUUGUGUAAGCUGGGAGUUUUUCCAUGUAUUUCUGUGGGGAUGCGGAAGGUCUCAGAAUCACCCAGUCUGUAAGCCUGGCGCACUCCGAAAUGAGCUCUAUUUCUGGGCCUGUCAGAUGAAAUGCUGUUGCUCACGGUUAUUUUUGGCUCUUUGCCCUUCUGAAUAGGUGCAUAUUCAGCUCAAUUCUCCCCCCGACCCUGAGCUGGGAAGAAGCAGGCAGCUUCCCUCAGCCAAGCCUCCUCUCGAGUCAGGAACAUUUGCCCCCUUAAGCAGCAGCUAUCUCAAGAGUCCUGGGCUGCGCAGCGGCUGUUUAUGCCGUGGCCAGGGGGGCAGCAGGGGAGUCCGCUCCCUGGCCCCCUCAGAUGACUGAUGGAGACCCUUGUGAGCCGAACAGCAGGUACAGCCAGGUAUCCAAAGCCUCCUCGUUCAUACAUACAAAGGUCUGCAACCUGCCCCACUGGGCCUGGCUGCAAAAACUUCUCCUACCAUCCUCAGGGCACCUGGGAUGGCCAGGGGACAUUUUCAGCUCAGUGAGCACAGAAAUAGCUGUACACUGAGGGUCUGAGGAAGGAAGAACGCUGGGAUGCAGAAGGCCAAGGGCAUGUAGUUAGAAAACUAUCUUCGGGUGAGCAUGUUGAGAAGAACAUGUGUGUGAAAAGGGUGGAGGGAGGUUGGGUGUGAGUGUGCCGAUCCACGUGGGACGGAGAGCGAGGAAGGACAGCGACUGUGCACCCAGGGAGUGUCAGUGUAAAUAAUUGAAGAGAGAGAGUGAGUACACCUGGGACCUUGGGGAAAGCGGAUUGUAUCUACGAGUCCUGACAAUAUUUUAUAACUGCAUCCUGCAGCUGAAAUCGCGAUCCUUAGACAGGCAUUAACAUCGACUUAGGGCUUUUAGUCUAUCCGGUAAUAAACAAUAUCAAGUGAUCAAGUGAAAUGAAAUGUCAAGAUGAGCUGUACUUGCAUGGACACUUAGUAAGGUCCAUAUAAAAUCAAGAAAAGCAUAGGGAAGAGGAAGCUAGCCCAGGGUUCUCUUAACAGCUACUUAUCUCUGCAGCCUUUGACUGAGAGACUUCUUUUCAAAGUUCUUACCACGUAUCACUUUGACGCACUAAUUCACUCAAUCCUCAUGACAGCAGCAGCAGCAGCAGCCUCGUUUUACAGACGAAGGAACUGAGUCGUUUGAAAGAUCCCAGGUCCAGGGUCAUCACCAGGUGGCAGAGCGGGUUUGGUCCGAGCAGCCGUGCUCAAGGACCAGAGCUUCCACGACUACACGAAACUUCUGUAGUGACAGCGGGUGGUGGAGGGGCAAGCAGGUGUCGUGAGGUAUGUCCAGGGCUCGCACCUGGGUUUGAAACGUAGGUGUGUGUCCGGGCUUCAUGGUGCCUGGGGACAGACACUGCCAUGUCGGACACAUCUGUCUGGGGCCAUCCUGCCACUCCCCAGCUUUGUUGCCUUUGCCGGGUCACGAAUCCUUUUUUGAACCUCAGUCUCCAGCCUCUGCAAAACUGGGGAUAAAGUCACCGAUCUGGCCAUCGAUGUGGUGUUGUGGGGGCCAGUGAGGUAGCAUGGGUGAGGGUGCGUGGCAAAUCGUCAAGCCCUAGACAAGAGUAAAGCACUUCUUGUGUAUUUUUCAGACUCACCUACUUCCAAAAAAGGCUCACAAAGAAAGGUCCAUCCCUUGUAAGUUUAUGAAAAACAGAAAAUAAAUAAAUAACCUGUCAAGGGGUUAAGGAUGACCCCACCCAUGAAGCACAUCUCCAUUAUAACCCUGGAGCAGGGGAGGGUAUUCCCCCAGUAUUUACCCCCCGGGGGGUGGGGGGAAGCCAGCUGCCGUGUGUCAACUCUCACCACCAGCAAGCCAGCCAUGUGACGGGAGAGAGAUGCUCAGACAUUCCGAACCCCGUGUGGGCCAGAGCUGCGAAUGAGCAAAUCAUCCUGAAGGUUUAUCCGUCGAGCCUUUACAUGACUCGAACCCAGCCCCGCCCCGUUCAGCUGAAACAGCUUCAGAAUCCCUAAGCCAGAACUGCCCGGCUGAGUCCUAGCAACUCACUGACCCAUGAAAGGUCACUGUCUCAACAGUUCCUGUGGAAUCCUGGGGGAUGACCCUGUUAUGGGUUGAAUUGUGUUCUCUAAAAGGAUAUGCUGGGAGUCCUAACCCCUGGUACCUGCGCAUAUGACCUUAUUUGCAAAUAGGGCCUUCGCAGAUGUAAUCAAGUGAAGCUGAGAUCGUACGGUGGGCCCUGAUCCAAUAUGACCAGUGUCCUUACAAGAAGAUGGAAAUUUCCUCAUAGACAUGCACCGAGGGGUGACAAUGUGAAGACACAGAAGGAAGAAGGCCAUACGAAGACAGAAGCAGAGAUUGGAGCCACGAGGCCACAAGCCAAGGAAUGCCUGGGGCUACCAGAAGUGGGAAGAGACAAGGAAGCAUCCUUGUCUAGCGGCUUCAGAGGGAGCGUGACUUUGCCUGUGCCUUGAUUUUGGACUUCUACCUUCUAGAACUGUGAAACAACAAACUUCUAUUGCUUUGAGCCACCCAGUUUAGGGCACUUUGUUCGAGCAGCCUUCGAAAACUAAUAUCAACUUCGGUGUCUGCUCAGGACAGAAUGGCGACCACGGAGAAUUCUGGACGGGGCGGAGGAAGAGAUUGCUCCCUUCUGUACUUUGAGUGGCAGCAAAGGGCUAUGACCAAUGCCCUCCUGGAUGCAGAAGGAGGCACUGGCCUCAUUAUAUGCAUACACCAUGACUGCUGUCUUAAAUUCCAAUACUGCUGAACAAUUCAGAAAUAGAUCCAUUAUAGGUCUGCUUUAGCCCCAGGGCUUUAACACGGGUCACUAGAAAAUCCAAGAUUGCACAGUAAUUCAAACUCUUAAGAGGGAAAGGAAAAAAAAAUUCUCCUCAGCACUCCCGCCCGCCCAGAGUCCCUCCCUCCAGCAUCACAGGGAGCCCCUCUUCAUUUCUGUAGUGCUUUAGAAUAAAUAGCUCUUAUGUUGAACUUGAAAUCUAAAUUUUUCGCCAGCUAUUAAUUGAUAAGAGAAGCUCGUUUUACCUCUCAUGCUCUGUAGUAAGAUUACGGUGUAAAUAAACUGGGUCAGGUUUA
Neofelis nebulosa (Clouded leopard) is the source of this 6128-nucleotide long non-coding RNA. RefSeq lists it as uncharacterized. The record is from RefSeq and is a predicted model, not a curated record. Lineage: Eukaryota; Metazoa; Chordata; Mammalia; Carnivora; Felidae. The transcript has 4 exons.